AGGUCAAUGUACGGCCUUCAACACGGAGCCUUGGCUCACACCGAACAACAAGCUAUAAAGGGCCCCAAAAUUACUAGUGUAAAACCAUGCAAACGGGAAAACCAACGGUCUAAUCUAUAUAAAAUUAAAAAAACGAGAAACGAGAAACACGUAUAAAUUACAUAAACAAACGACAACUGCUGUACAUCAGAUUCCUGACUUAGG
This 204-nucleotide long non-coding RNA is filed under the name Mytilus galloprovincialis (Mediterranean mussel). The record is from RNAcentral. Lineage: Eukaryota; Metazoa; Mollusca; Bivalvia; Mytilida; Mytilidae.